GACGAACGCUGGCGGCGUGCUUAACACAUGCAAGUCGAACGGAAAGGCCCUGCUUUUGUGGGGUGCUCGAGUGGCGAACGGGUGAGUAACACGUGAGUAACCUGCCCUUGACUUUGGGAUAACUUCAGGAAACUGGGGCUAAUACCGGAUAGGAGCUCCUGCUGCAUGGUGGGGGUUGGAAAGUUUCGGCGGUUGGGGAUGGACUCGCGGCUUAUCAGCUUGUUGGUGGGGUAGUGGCUUACCAAGGCUUUGACGGGUAGCCGGCCUGAGAGGGUGACCGGCCACAUUGGGACUGAGAUACGGCCCAGACUCCUACGGGAGGCAGCAGUGGGGAAUAUUGCACAAUGGGCGGAAGCCUGAUGCAGCAACGCCGCGUGCGGGAUGACGGCCUUCGGGUUGUAAACCGCUUUCGCCUGUGACGAAGCGUGAGUGACGGUAAUGGGUAAAGAAGCACCGGCUAACUACGUGCCAGCAGCCGCGGUGAUACGUAGGGUGCGAGCGUUGUCCGGAUUUAUUGGGCGUAAAGGGCUCGUAGGUGGUUGAUCGCGUCGGAAGUGUAAUCUUGGGGCUUAACCCUGAGCGUGCUUUCGAUACGGGUUGACUUGAGGAAGGUAGGGGAGAAUGGAAUUCCUGGUGGAGCGGUGGAAUGCGCAGAUAUCAGGAGGAACACCAGUGGCGAAGGCGGUUCUCUGGGCCUUUCCUGACGCUGAGGAGCGAAAGCGUGGGGAGCGAACAGGCUUAGAUACCCUGGUAGUCCACGCUGUAAACGGUGGGUACUAGGUGUGGGGUCCAUUCCACGGGUUCCGUGCCGUAGCUAACGUUUUAAGUACCCCGCCUGGGGAGUACGGCCGCAAGGCUAAAACUCAAAGGAAUUGACGGGGCCCCGCACAAGCGGCGGAGCAUGCGGAUUAAUUCGAUGCAACGCGUAGAACCUUACCUGGGUUUGACAUGGAUCGGGAGUGCUCAGAGAUGGGUGUGCCUCUUUUGGGGUCGGUUCACAGGUGGUGCAUGGCUGUCGUCAGCUCGUGUCGUGAGAUGUUGGGUUAAGUCCCGCAACGAGCGCAACCCUUGUUCACUGUUGCCAGCACGUUAUGGUGGGGACUCAGUGGAGACCGCCGGGGUCAACUCGGAGGAAGGUGGGGAUGACGUCAAGUCAUCAUGCCCCUUAUGUCCAGGGCUUCACGCAUGCUACAAUGGCUGGUACAGAGAGUGGCGAGCCUGUGAGGGUGAGCGAAUCUCGGAAAGCCGGUCUCAGUUCGGAUUGGGGUCCGCAACUCGACCUCAUGAAGUCGGAGUCGCUAGUAAUCGCAGAUCAGCAACGCUGCGGUGAAUACGUUCCC
RNAcentral lists this ribosomal RNA (1340 nucleotides) under uncultured bacterium. Its description in RNAcentral is "16S ribosomal RNA". It matches the Rfam family "Bacterial small subunit ribosomal RNA", at positions 28 to 1375 of the family's 1533-position model. The record is from RNAcentral.